AACGAACGCUGGCGGCAGGCUUAACACAUGCAAGUCGAGCGCAUACUUCGGGGUGAGCGGCAGACGGGUGAGUAACACGUGGGAAUCUACCCAACCAUACGGACUAGCUCCGGGAAACUGGAAUUUAUUCCGUAUACGACCUAAGGGGGAAAGAUAUAUCGGGGAUGGAUGAACCCGCGUUGGAUUAGCAAGUUGGUGAGGUAAAGGCCGACCAAGGCGACGAUCAAUAGCUGGUCUGAGAGGAUGAUCAGCCACAUUGGGACUGAGACACGGCCCAAACUCCUGCGGGAGGAGGCAGUGGGGAAUGUUGGACAAUGGGCGCAGGCCGAAUCCAGCCGUGCCGCGUGAGUGAUUAAGGCCUGAAGGUUGUAAAGCGCUUUCGCCGGAGAAGAUAAUGACGGUAUCCGGAGAAGAAGCCCCGGCUAACUUCGUGCCAGCAGCCGCCGUAA
This 449-nucleotide ribosomal RNA is filed under the name uncultured bacterium. Its description in RNAcentral is "partial 16S ribosomal RNA". It matches the Rfam family "Bacterial small subunit ribosomal RNA", at positions 29 to 523 of the family's 1533-position model. The record is from RNAcentral.